Non-coding RNA from Cyanobium gracile PCC 6307, 81 nucleotides. The record is from Rfam. NCBI's taxonomy places the organism in Bacteria, Bacillati, Cyanobacteriota, Cyanophyceae, Synechococcales, Prochlorococcaceae.
AUUGAUAGAGUGAUUGAUCGGGUGUGCGCUGCAGGCGGGCAGCCAUCCCGUUCCUUCGCACUGCCACCGGCAGACCGCCCC